CAGCAGCCGCGGUAACACGAAGGGGGCUAGCGUUGUUCGGAUUUACUGGGCGUAAAGGGCGCGUAGGCGGACUGAUAAGUCAGGGGUGAAAUCCCAAGGCUCAACCUUGGAACUGCCUUUGAUACUGUUUGUCUUGGGUUCGAGAGAGGUAAGUGGAACUGCGAGUGUAGAGGUGAAAUUCGUAGAUAUUCGCAAGAACACCAGUGGCGAAGGCGGCUUACUGGCUCGAAACUGACGCUGAGGCGCGAAAGCGUGGGGAGCAAACAGGAUUAGAUACCCGCGUAGUCCCUGUCUCUUAUAC
This 301-nucleotide ribosomal RNA is filed under the name uncultured bacterium. RNAcentral describes it as "partial 16S ribosomal RNA". It matches the Rfam family "Bacterial small subunit ribosomal RNA", at positions 509 to 807 of the family's 1533-position model. The record is from RNAcentral.